RNAcentral lists this ribosomal RNA (497 nucleotides) under uncultured bacterium. RNAcentral describes it as "partial 16S ribosomal RNA". It matches the Rfam family "Bacterial small subunit ribosomal RNA", at positions 28 to 507 of the family's 1533-position model. The record is from RNAcentral.
GAUGAACGCUGGCGGCGUGCCUAAUACAUGCAAGUCGAGCGAACAGAUGAUGAGCUUGCUCCUCUGACGUUAGCGGCGGACGGGUGAGUAACACGUGGAUAACCUACCUAUAAGACUGGUAUAACUUCGGGAAACCGGAGCUAAUACCGGAGAAUAUAUUGAACCGCAUGGUUCAAUAGUGAAAGACGGUUGUGCUGUCACGUAUAGAUGGAUCCGCGCCGCAUUAGAUGGUUGGUAAGGUAACGGCUUACCAAGGCAACGAUGCGUAGCCGACGUGAGAGAGUGAUAGGCCGCCCUGGAAGGGAGACGCGGUCCAGGCGACUAAGGGAGGCCGCAGUCGGGAAUCGUCCGCAACAGGGGAAAGUCUGACGGAGUAACGGCGAGUGAGUGGCGAAGACGCUCGGUUCGUAAAAAUCUGUUAUUAGGGAAAAACAAAUGUGUCCGUAAAUAUGGCCGUAUUGACGGUAAUGAAUAAGAAAGCCACGGCUAACUACGUG